UAGGUACAGUAAGGCUCUGAACUCUUCCAGCAAGGAAGACUGCACUCUGUCCCCAGAAGGGGAGAAUACCAGCGCAAAGGACUGACUGAGGAAAGGAUCAGCCAGACCCUGCGUGACCUGGAAGGACUUUGCUUUGCCCAAGCCUGUGUCUCUGAGGCAAAAAGGGACUGAGCCAGCUGAGGAGAAGCAGACCACUUGGAGGUGUCACCCUGUGAGAACUGAAGAAAAAGCUUAUAACAAUGGGGAAGUUGCCAUUGUUUGCAGACAUGAGUCCUGAUUAGUGAAACCCCUCAAGUCUUACAGCAGGAGACAAGUGCAUUCACAACAACUCAGUGAUAAUUUCUAGAGUUUAUUCGCUCAUUAAAUCAGCGUGACAGAACUCCGAUGUUCAAAAAUCAUUGAAAAAUGACAGCCACGAAAGUGGCUAUGACGGUCCAUCAAAACCAACCUUUGUUGGGAAGUGUAAUGCUAAGCUGUACUGGAAUGGAAAACAUUGACACCAAGCUAUUUCUAAAAGUAAGUGAUGCAGCUGAGACAAUAUUUUAACAUCCAUUGAAUAGUUCAUGUGACUCUGAAGGUUGGAAAAGUGGC
Long non-coding RNA from Mauremys reevesii (Reeves's turtle), 591 nucleotides. RefSeq lists it as uncharacterized. The record is from RefSeq and is a predicted model, not a curated record. Lineage: Eukaryota; Metazoa; Chordata; Testudines; Geoemydidae. The transcript is spliced from 3 exons.